AGAGGAAGGAGAAGUCGUAACAAGGUUUCCGUAGGUGAACCUGCGGAAGGAUCAUUGUCGAUGCCUGCCCAGCAGAACGACCCGCGAACUCGUGAAACAACCUCCGGGCGGGGGUGUCAUGCCCCCUCUCGAAAACGGAUGGGAGGGCACGUCUUGCUUGCCCGUCGCUCCUCGCGCGCGGCGGGUCGAUCUCCUCGUCCCCCCUCCCAGCCGAACAACGAACCCCGGCGCGGUCUGCGCCAAGGAACUCGAACAAGGAGUAACCGCGGUCGCCCCGGAAACGGUGCGCGUGCCGUCGGUGACAUCUUAUCACGAUUAUAUAACGACUCUCGGCAACGGAUAUCUCGGCUCUCGCAUCGAUGAAGAACGUAGCGAAAUGCGAUACUUGGUGUGAAUUGCAGAAUCCCGCGAAUCAUCGAGUCUUUGAACGCAAGUUGCGCCCGAAGCCAUCCGGUCGAGGGCACGUCUGCCUGGGUGUCACGCAUCGUUGCCCCAACCCCAUCGCCUCUCACGCGGCGCGGGGUGCGGGGCAGACAUUGGCCUCCCGUGCGCUGUCUCGCUCGCGGUUAGCCUAAAAAAGAGUCCUGGGCGGCGAGCGCCACGACAAUCGGUGGUUGUCAAGACCCUCGUGACCCGUCGUGCGCUGCCCGUCGCCGUGAAGGCGCUCCUCGGCCCCGACGCGUCGCUCUCGCGACUCUACCAUCGCGACCCCAGGUCAGGCGGGACUACCCGCUGAAUUU
Molecule: ribosomal RNA, 740 nt
Filed under: Engelhardia roxburghiana
Lineage: Eukaryota; Viridiplantae; Streptophyta; Magnoliopsida; Fagales; Juglandaceae
Description: eukaryotic LSU rRNA
Rfam family: 5.8S ribosomal RNA (bases 325-480)
Source: RNAcentral